AAUGUCGGCCGUAACUAUAACGGUCCUAAGGUAGCGAAAUUCCUUGUCGGGUAAGUUCCGACCUGCACGAAUGGUGUAACGAUCUGGGCACUGUCUCGGCCACGAGCUCGGUGAAAUUGUAGUAGCGGUGAAGAUGCCGCUUACCCGCAACGGGACGAAAAGACCCCGUGCACCUUUACUAUAGCUUCACAUUGACAUUGGGUAAAUGAUGUGUAGGAUAGGCGGGAGACUAUGAAGCUGGUACGCUAGUGCUGGUGGAGUCGUUGGUGAAAUACCGCCCUUUAUUUAUCUGAUGUCUAAUCCCGCCUCGGCGGGCGACAGUGUGUGGUGGGUAGUUUGACUGGGGUGGUCGCCUCCAAAAGAGUAACGGAGGCUCCUAAAG
This 382-nucleotide ribosomal RNA is filed under the name Alexandrium margalefii. Its description in RNAcentral is "partial Bacterial large subunit ribosomal RNA". It matches the Rfam family "Bacterial large subunit ribosomal RNA", at positions 1926 to 2315 of the family's 2925-position model. The record is from RNAcentral. Lineage: Eukaryota; Dinophyceae; Gonyaulacales; Pyrocystaceae.